This is a long non-coding RNA of Danio aesculapii, 1393 nucleotides long. RefSeq lists it as uncharacterized. NCBI's taxonomy places the organism in Eukaryota, Metazoa, Chordata, Actinopteri, Cypriniformes, Danionidae. The transcript is spliced from 7 exons. The record is from RefSeq and is a predicted model, not a curated record.
UCCCUCCCCCAACAAACAUGCGACAGACCAGCAGCACAACAAACACACUUUCUGGACUCUCUACUGGAAAUAUGAGCUCAUAAAUACCUUUCCUGGAGCUGUGAAUCUGCCUGGAUGUGGAGGAGCGUCAGCUGUUGAGCGCAGGUCAAAGAUCUGCAGCAGAAACACAACAGACACACGUGUGUAUCUUCACUGCAGCAGAGGAGAGAGAGAGAGAGAGAGAGAGAGAGCAAUGACUGAACACAAACACUACUACAACAUCACUACAAACUAAACCAACGAAACAAAGUCCCUUACAGCAGUAAAAAGCAGCAGCAGUGCUUGGAUUUGAACCCAGAAAGUCCCUCCCCCAACAAACAUGCUACAGACCAGCAGCAAAACAAACACACUUUCUGGACUCUCUACUGGAAAUAUGAGCUCAUAAAUACCUUUCCUGGAGCUGUGAAUCUGCCUGGAUGUGGAGGAGCGUCAGCUGUUGAGGGCAGGUCAAAGAUCUGCAGCAGAAACACAACAGACACACGUGUGUAUCUUCACUGCUGCAGAGGAGAGAGAGAGAGAGAGCAAUGACUGAACACAAACACUACAACAACAUCACUACAAACUAAACCAACGAAACAAAGUCCCUUACAGCAGUAAAAAGCAGCAGCAGUGCUUGGAUUUGAACCCAGAAAGUCCCUCCCCCAACAAACAUGCUACAGACCAGCAGCAAAACAAACACACUUUCUGGACUCUCUACUGGAAAUAUGAGCUCAUAAAUACCUUUCCUGGAGCUGUGAAUCCGCCUGGAUGUGGAGGAGCGUCAGCUGUUGAGCGCAGGUCAAAGAUCUGCAGCAGAAACACAACAGACACACGUGUGUAUCUUCACUGCUGCAGAGGAGAGAGAGAGAGAGCAAUGACUGAACACAAACACUACAACAACAUCACUACAAACUAAACCAACGAAACAAAGUCCCUUACAGGAUCAGUGAAGUGUUGUGGACUGUAAGCCUGUUGAACAGAAGCAGAGACGCGUGAACAGACGCUGACUGUACUGAUGAUGAUCAUCUGCUGCUGCACAGGCUGUAAAGUAUAACCCCUGCUGGACAUGUCUCCGGAAGCUCCAGGGGGAGACCGAACUGGUAUCCCCCCUUCUUCAGGCGCGCCUCACACUCACUCACCAUUCACUCAUAUCGCAGAGUUCUGGCCGGGAUCGAACCAGCAACCCCUGAAGCCAUGGGGCAGCGCUCUUACCACAGAGCCACAGAUCUCCUGACUGAAUACUUGCUGGAACUGAAGUUAGACUUCUGACCUGUGUGUGAGCUGUUUUAAUAAAACAAAAUACGAGUCAGAUUUGAUCCCCCCUGUCUUUAUGAGUCUCUUCCUCAGAGAACUUGUGUUUAUUCACUCACCCAUC